ACACAUCCAUUCUCCAAACAUCCAUCCACUACACCCAUUACAUCCACUCAUUACCAAACACUCAUCCACUACACCCAUUACAUCCACCCACUACACCCAUUACAUCCACUGAUUACCAAAAACUACUCUACCAAACACUCAUCCACUACAUCCAUUACAUCCACUCAUUACCAAACAUCCACCCACUACACCCAUUACAUCCACUCAUUACCACAACCCACUACACCCAUUACAUCCACUCAUUACCAAACAUCCACCCACUACACCCAUUACAUCCACUCAUUACCAAACACUACUCAUUACCAAACACUCAUCCACUACACUCAUUACAUCCACUCAUUACCAAACAUUCACCCACUACACCCAUUACAUCCACUCAUUACAACUCCAUACACUCCUCUCCCUAGCCUAUAAAUACAUCCACCCUUCACCAUAAUUUGGGGGCCAUCAUCCAAAGACACUACAUUUCACAUCUCACAACUUCAUUCACAAACACAAUUUCCUUGCCGUGACCUUUAUCCAUUCAUCUAGCCAUACUACAUCUCACCAAUCCAUACACUUUCAUCUCUUAGCCGUGCAAAUCCAUUCCAUCCACAUAUCCAUACACAUCCUAGACAUUCAAUUAUCUAUUUUAUUCAUAACUGAUUCUUGUAUGUUUAUUAAGGAUGCAUACUUAGUUUUCAUG
RNAcentral lists this long non-coding RNA (685 nucleotides) under Malus domestica (apple). Its description in RNAcentral is "long non-coding RNA (MDOM_LNC015227)". Lineage: Eukaryota; Viridiplantae; Streptophyta; Magnoliopsida; Rosales; Rosaceae. The record is from RNAcentral.